This 774-nucleotide ribosomal RNA is filed under the name uncultured Neocallimastigales. RNAcentral describes it as "partial large subunit ribosomal RNA". It matches the Rfam family "Eukaryotic large subunit ribosomal RNA", at positions 18 to 622 of the family's 3401-position model. Lineage: Eukaryota; Fungi; Neocallimastigomycota; Neocallimastigomycetes; Neocallimastigales. The record is from RNAcentral.
UCAGACGAUGCGUCAUGCAUAUCAAUAAGCGGAGGAAAAGAAACUAACAAGGAUUCCCUUAGUAACGGCGAGUGAAGCGGGAAGAGCUCAAAUUUGAAAUCUUCAAGGUUUUACCUUGACGAAUUGUAGUUUAAAGAAGUGUUUUCUGUUGAAGUUUUGGUAAAAGUUCUUUGGAAUAGGACAUCAUAGAGGGUGAGAAUCCCGUAUUUGACCAUUAUUUUCAGCUGUGUGAUACACUUUCAAAGAGUCGGAUUGUUUGGGAAUGCAGUCCAAAAUGGGUGGUAAAUUUCAUCUAAAGCUAAAUAUUGGCGAGAGACCGAUAGCGAACAAGUACCGUGAGGGAAAGAUGAAAAGAACUUUGAAAAGAGAGUUAAACAGUACGUGAAAUUGUCAAAAGGGAAGCGUUUGACACCAGUGUUGUUUUCUCGAAAAUCAAUUAAAAAGAGUUAGAUUUUGUUGUGUAUUGACCUUAACAGCUUGCAUUUCAAUUUUCUUGCUUUUUUUAAUGCACUUUUCGUUUAACAAGUCAACAUCAGUUUCUUUUGUUGUAAAAAGGUCAUUGGAAGGUGGCUUUCUUUUCGGAGAAAGUGUUUAUAGCCUUUGACUCCUGCAAUCGGAGAGACUGAGGUCUGCAGCGUAGAUCCUUCGGGGUUAGAUACAUUUGUGCUAAGUUAUAGCUUUUUAUAGACAACUUGUUGACUAUGAUUAGUCUUGUAGCUUACUCGCUUAUGCUAUUUUACCUACGCUUAGGAUGUUGAGUCGUAGAGCACGCAG